GAGUUUGAUCCUGGCUCAGAACGAACGCUGGCGGCGUGGAUUAGGCAUGCAAGUCGCACGUGAAAGAGGGGCUUGCUCCUCGAGUAAAGUGGCGAACGGGUGAGUAACGCGUGAGAAACCUGCCUUGUAGAGGGGAAUAACACUCCCAACGGAGUGCUAAUACCGCAUGAGCUCGAUGGAUCGCAUGGUUCGUCGAGGAAAGGUGGCCUCUGUUUACAAGCUACCGCUACAAGAGGGUCUCGCGUCCGAUUAGCUAGUUGGCGGUGUAAAAGACCACCAAGGCGACGAUCGGUAGCUGGUCUGAGAGGAUGGUCAGCCACACUGGGACUGAGAGACGGCCCAGACUCCUACGGGAGGCAGCAGUGGGGAAUCUUGCGCAAUGGCCGAAAGGCUGACGCAGCGACGCCGCGUGUGGGAGGAAGCCCUUC
Molecule: ribosomal RNA, 428 nt
Filed under: uncultured delta proteobacterium
Lineage: Bacteria; Deltaproteobacteria
Description: bacterial SSU rRNA
Rfam family: Bacterial small subunit ribosomal RNA
Source: RNAcentral